Molecule: ribosomal RNA, 254 nt
Filed under: uncultured bacterium
Lineage: Bacteria
Description: partial 16S ribosomal RNA
Rfam family: Bacterial small subunit ribosomal RNA
Source: RNAcentral
AACGUAGGACACAAGCGUUAUCCGGAGUUACUGGGCGUAAAGCGCGUGUAGGUGGAUUGGUGUGUCAGAUGUGAAAUCCCUGGGCUCAACCCAGGAACUGCACCUGAAACUACCAGUCUUGAGUGGUGGAGAGGGAAGUGGAAUUCCUGGUGUAGAGGUGAAAUUCGUAGAUAUCAGGAGGAACACCAGUGGCGAAAGGCGGCUUCCUGGACACCAACUGACGCUGAGACGCGAAAGCGUGGGGAGCAAACAGG